Molecule: long non-coding RNA, 1222 nt
Filed under: Vulpes vulpes (red fox)
Lineage: Eukaryota; Metazoa; Chordata; Mammalia; Carnivora; Canidae
Description: lncRNA (ENSVVUG00000001315.1)
Source: RNAcentral
AUGCAGCUUCGUUCUUGUUCCUUGGACCAGUCAUUCAGGGCACGUGGACCCUCCCAGUGGCACACUGUGCCAGCCCCAAGGGCUACCACAGGCGACUUCAAAAUGAGGUUCAAAAUGAGGUUCCUUGCAGGGAGAUGUGCAGUACAGACAGUGUCACACCACCAGGGGGCGCUGCCCAGCUGGUAUCUUUCUCCUUCACGCUCUGCCGUGUUUCUCAAGGAGGCUGGGAAGACAGAAUCAGGAGCCCUGGGAUGCAGUUUGCUUCCUGUUCCUGUACAUGCAUUCCAUCUUAUCCAACUAAGGGGAUAAUGCCCAGAUAUUGAACUAAGGCUCAGAGAGGUGAAGAGGCUACUUGAGGCCACACAGCUGGUAAGUGGCAAAGCAGAGAUCCCUCCUAGGCUUGCAUGAUGCCAACCCCUGGGCCCCAGUGUCUGAGUGGGGGGAGGCAGCACAGUGCAAGGGGAGGGGGAAGCAGGAGGGUAUCCCAGGAGACUGGAGCCAGCUCUGAGUCUUGCUCUACCUCCACUCAGCACAGCUGACUAUUCCUAUCCAUUCUCUUCCCCUCUCCCCACGUGGGAUUUCAGCAACCAUCUCCAGUUUGGGGGGAAUUGGUGAGGGGCUCAGGCAGCACCAGUGGAGUCCUCGAUGUUCAGCCAAGAUAUAUGCUUUUUCUAGAGCACAGCUUGGCUUCUUAAGGGAUGAUUUUCAGUCCUGCCAGAGAUUUCCACACUAGCCAUCCCAACUAGCCAUAGACACCUCAGCCUGCAACUGUACCCAGAGUCUGGGGCCAGAUGCUACAAUGCAAGGAGCCAAGGCAGUGUGCUAACGGGGGAUGCCUAAAGCCACCUCUCACUCUACAUCAUCACUAUGCUCAAUGCCAUACAUGCAGCCUAAUUUAAUCCCCGUGAUGGCCCUGUGAAAAGAUUAUGAUCUCCAUUUACAGGUGAGGACACUGAGGCUCAUAGGGUACCUCUGCAGCUCUGGAGAGCAGUGGGCUGGCUUUCCUCCCAUGCCUGCCACUGACUGACUAGAUGCACGAGGAGUGGGCAAGCACAGAUCUUAGCCUCUGCUUGAGUUCUGGAGAAUGUAAAGGGCAUGAGAGCUGGCUGUCCUUCAGCAAACAUCUCCUGAGACUUACCAGGCUUCCAGGAGCUCACAAACCUAGGGGGGUCCGCCAGGUCCUCAGUGGAGAAUAAACUGCAGCCAGACUUGUGAGUGAGCA